RNAcentral lists this unclassified non-coding RNA (305 nucleotides) under Hevea brasiliensis (rubber tree). Lineage: Eukaryota; Viridiplantae; Streptophyta; Magnoliopsida; Malpighiales; Euphorbiaceae. The record is from RNAcentral.
ACCUGCAUUUAAUCUAAGAGACCCCAGAACUUGGAUACCUCACCUCCCUCCACCCCCUCCUAAUAGACCUCAGAAUCAAAACCCUUAAUAGAUUGCUCCAGUUAUCAUCUCGAAGUGAUUUAUGUUUAAUAUGCCAUAGUUCAUAAUUAUAUGAGCUUUUACAUGUGAUGAAAAACAGAUGAGUAUAGAAAUAUAAAUUUUAUUUCCUUAAGAAGAUCAUUAUAGAAACAACAUUUCACCUGCAAAUAUUUAAAUUAAACUUGUAUCCAAAUGUAAAACACAAUCCAAAUUAAUGAAAUCAGAAA